This 169-nucleotide microRNA precursor is filed under the name Podarcis lilfordi (Lilford's wall lizard). Lineage: Eukaryota; Metazoa; Chordata; Lepidosauria; Squamata; Lacertidae. The record is from RNAcentral.
AUGUAGCGAGCUGAGUGGGGAGGAGAGAGGGACAGAAAGCCUGUUUGCUUUAAAGGAACCAACCGGAGCCACUUACACUCGUGUAAGCGGCUCCUCCCCUCUCCCGCUUUGCUCCUUUAAAGAAGCAGGCUAUCUGUCCCUCUCUCCUCCCCACUCAGCGGCUCUUCUC